AUACACAACCAUAUCACCCUACAGCCCAAGACCGGUUAUUUACUGAAGCUUAAUAGGGCUGAGCCUGGUCAGUACCUUAAUGGCAGACCACAUGGGAAAACUAGGUUGCUGCCGGAA
This is a non-coding RNA of Danio rerio (zebrafish), 117 nucleotides long. Lineage: Eukaryota; Metazoa; Chordata; Actinopteri; Cypriniformes; Danionidae. The record is from Rfam.